This 259-nucleotide ribosomal RNA is filed under the name uncultured bacterium. Its description in RNAcentral is "partial 16S ribosomal RNA". It matches the Rfam family "Bacterial small subunit ribosomal RNA", at positions 793 to 1055 of the family's 1533-position model. The record is from RNAcentral.
GUCCACACCUUAAACGAUGAGCACUAGGUGUGGGGGGAAGACCCUCCGUGCCGUAGCUAACGCGUUAAGUGCUCCGCCUGGGGACUAUGAGCGCAAGCUUAAAACUCAAAGGAAUUGACGGGGGCCCGCACAAGCAGCGGAGCGUGCGGUUCAAUUCGAUGCGACACGAAGAACCUUACCAGGGUUUGACAUCGAGGUGGUAGGAAGGGAACUGGACCGACCCGCAAGGGAGCCUUGACAGGUGAUGCAUGGCUGUCGU